This 363-nucleotide ribosomal RNA is filed under the name uncultured bacterium. Its description in RNAcentral is "bacterial SSU rRNA". It matches the Rfam family "Bacterial small subunit ribosomal RNA", at positions 32 to 404 of the family's 1533-position model. The record is from RNAcentral.
AAUCAACGCUGGCGGCGUGCCUAACACAUGCAAGUCGCACGAGAAAGGGUAGCAAUACCUGAGUAAAGUGGCGCACGGGUGAGUAACACGUGACUAAUCUACCCUCGAGUGGGGGAACAACUGAGAGAAAUCUUAGCUAAUACCGCAUAACACUUACGAGUCAAAGCAGCAAUGCGCUUGGGGAGGAGGUCGCGGCCGAUUAGCUAGUUGGCGGGGUAAUGGCCCACCAAGGCGAUGAUCGGUAUCCGGCCUGAGAGGGCGCACGGACACACUGGAACUGAAACACGGUCCAGACUCCUACGGGAGGCAGCAGUGGGGAAUCUUGCGCAAUGGGCGAAAGCCUGACGCAGCGGCGCCGUGUGC